RNAcentral lists this ribosomal RNA (486 nucleotides) under uncultured bacterium. Its description in RNAcentral is "partial 16S ribosomal RNA". It matches the Rfam family "Bacterial small subunit ribosomal RNA", at positions 30 to 507 of the family's 1533-position model. The record is from RNAcentral.
AUUGAACGCUGGCGGCAUGCCUUACACAUGCAAGUCGAACGGCAGCACGGGUGCUUGCCCCUGGUGGCGAGUGGCGAACGGGUGAGUAAUACAUCGGAACAUGUCCUGUAGUGGGGGAUAGCCCGGCGAAAGCCGGAUUAAUACCGCAUACGAUCCACGGAUGAAAGCGGGGGACCUUCGGGCCUCGCGCUAUAGGGUUGGCCGAUGGCUGAUUAGCUAGUUGGUGGGGUAAAGGCCUACCAAGGCGACGAUCAGUAGCUGGUCUGAGAGGACGACCAGCCACACUGGGACUGAGACACGGCCCAGACUCCUACGGGAGGCAGCAGUGGGGAAUUUUGGACAAUGGGCGAAAGCCUGAUCCAGCAAUGCCGCGUGUGUGAAGAAGGCCUUCGGGUUGUAAAGCACUUUUGUCCGGAAAGAAAUCCUUGGCUCUAAUACAGUCGGGGGAUGACGUUACCGGAAGAAUAAGCACCGGCUAACUACGUG